Long non-coding RNA from Symphalangus syndactylus (siamang), 3987 nucleotides. RefSeq lists it as uncharacterized. NCBI's taxonomy places the organism in Eukaryota, Metazoa, Chordata, Mammalia, Primates, Hylobatidae. The record is from RefSeq and is a predicted model, not a curated record.
GCAUGCAUCAGCACCAUAAGCAGGAGGGCCCCUGGUCAGAGAAACAUGGAUGCACAUUCAUGCACGUGUACAUGUGAGUAACUCCUCGCAUACAUGCUGGAGGAAACCCUCGCUGUCAUCCACACUCCCAGGAAUGGCCACGUUAGACAUCUUCCCCCUAGUUCCUGAGAAGCCAACCCCGGAGAGCCCAGUGAAAACUCUGGCCAGUUUUGCCUCUAGUUCUUUGCUUCUGGAAAAAAACAGGCACUAGGGUGAAUUUCUUUUCUCUUUUCCUACCAUCCCAUCUUCCUUCUCUUUUGUCCUUCCUUCCUUCCUUCCUCCCUUUCUUCCUUCCUCUCUCCUUUUCCUCCUUCCUUCCCUCUCUUUCUUUCAUGAAGAAAAGCUCACAGAAAGGCAGAAGGAACCACAGUCUAUUGACAUUUCUGACUCUUAGAGGCUCCAAACCGAAACUCAGCUGUGGUUGCUCUAAGUGGCUACAAAAUUAGAAAAAUAAUUUGCAGAAAUGAAACCUGACUUGGGAUGCCAUUUCACAAAAUAGGCUAGAUGGCCUUGAUGUGUCAUGAGGCCCCCACCACUGCCGCCUGCACUGCUGGAGGAACUCCUCACAUCUCAGGCUGCGGAGCAUUUCCACCCCUGCAGUCAGGCAUCCUGCAGAAACCUGCCCCCGCCUACCUGAAGACAGUUCACAGUUUCCUCUAAAAUGGGCAGAAGAGCUGGACCCAGCCACAAGACCAUCAAGGAAAGCAAAAGGCUUUCAAAAGGCUGGAUAUACCCGUACAGACCCCGCACAGCAUCAGUGAGUGAUCCAGCCAGCCAGCCGAAGGAGCUCAGAGACACUGCAGGGAGACAGGGGAGGUGCUGGCGGAGCAGUCUGCCUGUUCCUGGCGUUUGGGAGGGGGUGCAAGCCUCAGGCCUGUUUUUCAGCCUCCCUCCCAAGGCAUGAUUGGUCCCUAGUCCGGGGGAUCCAGGCUGUCUGGGUCAGUUUAAACCUGAGCCUCACUCAGCAGAUGCUCUUAGUGUCUGAGCCCAGUGGUGGGCACUGUCAAGAGCCUGGACUCAGGAGCCGCAUUCCUGCCUAGGUUCAAAUCCCAGCUCCACCACUUACAAGCUGUGUGACUUUGCAAAGUGAGUGAUCUUUCUGUGUGUCAGUUUCUUCACCCGCAUGAUAGGGUGAUGAUAGAGUUGUUAGGAAUAUUAAAUGAGACAGUGCGUAUAAGGAUUGAAAGCGGUUCCUGGAACAUAGAAAACAAGAAAAUCCCAGGCACUCUAAAGAUUAUGAUUGUGAAUGUGCAGUUCAUUGCUGAGCGCAACUUGAUGGAACAUGGGCCUGAAUCAGUCAAGGUGAUAAGUUUAAGUCAAUGUUUGCCCUUUGGCUUUGCCUGUUCCUAGCUAGAUCAGAACCCCUGGGGUACAGAGUCCACACCUGGAACUCCGAAGGGAAAGGAGGGACCUGUUUUCCCUCCUUGGCCUCACCCCAGCCCAGGGGUCCUUCGUCCUCUCCCACCAUGGUCAUUACCACCCUUCCCCCCACCCACCCCCAGUCAAAUACUGACUCUGGAAGCACCUUCUGCAUGGGGCAGGGGGUGGCCUGGAUGACCUCUGGAGCUCCUCACCCCACCAUGGCAGUAAAUCUCCCUUCCUCUACCCCACCACUCAGCCUGUGCCCUGCUGGAGCCCACAGCCCAUCCAUACGGCUCAUCAGCAGCCUGGGAGAGGCCCUGUGGCUGGGAGUUUGUUUGAAGCCUCCAGACCAUUGAGGCAGGGGUGGGGCUGUGGUCAGGACAACAGCAGUGCCUUUCACUGGCUCUCUGGGAGCAGCUGUGUGGGGGCACCGGCCCAGAAGGAUGACCGACAUCCACCCACAGUCCUUACUAUUUGCGAGGGAUAGGGCAGAGGAGGGGCCCAGCCCAGGAUGGCUGUGGUCACAUUGGUUCACAUGUUGAGUAUGAAAGGAAAAGAAAGAAGGGAAGGGGAGGUGGGAAAAGGGAAGGGAGAAAGAAAGAGAGAAAGAGAGGGAGGGAAAUAGGGAGAAGGGAAGGAAGGGGGCAGGAGGAAGGGAGAGAAGGAGGAAGGGAUGGAGAGAGGAGACUCACAUCUCAGAAGAGAAAAAGCACCAGGAGCUUUCCUUAGGCAAUCAUCUGCCUGCAGGUUGCUUUACACUCAGGGCUGUGCAGCCCAACUCUAGGUCUCGGCCGCCUCCAUUCUGAGGGCCUUGGAUACAAUUGCCCCCAAACCAGGCAUUCCAACCAGGGACCGUGACGGGCCCCAGCUCCAGGCCUCCUGAGUGUCCUCUCAUGGUUUAGUCUGCCCCCUCCUGAGAAGGAAGAAGAGGCAGGGUGUGUGUGUUUGUGUGUAUGUGCACAUGCAAGCAUGGCUGUGCAGCCUCAUCACGCAUUCCAUCUCCCAGACGGCUGCCUCUGUCUGCCUGUGCAGUCUGCCUCUCUUCCAAAGGGUGGUUUGCAGUGCAGAUUCAUGGCUCCCAGCUAGAAACAGUAUUCCCUCUGCCCCCGCGCCAACUUCUGCCCAAUUCUCCUGCUCCUCACCCAGUUCCCCAGUGCCCCGAGGGGCCUGGCCACACAGAAAGCCUGCUGGCUCUGUCCAUAGUGCCGAGGGUUGGAGGCCUGGCAGUCCUCUGCCUUUGGUGUCUGUCCUGAUUGUCUCUCCUGAGGGUGACAUGGGCAGGAUCUCAGUGGGAGGUGAGACUGGGGCCAUGCACUUCUCCUCCCUGUAAAACACUGCUCAGGGAGAGCAGCUUUGCUGACCUUGAGCUGGGACCCCCCCUUUCAGAGUCUCCCAGUGAUAACCCCCAUGGGGACAAUUGGAUGGCUGACCCUCUCUAGCCUUUAGGCUGGGGGGAGGAGAAACCUGAAUUUUGGGUUUUUGUCCCUUUCCCAGAAGAGCGGUAGGAAAGAAUCGCUAACAGCAGUAGCCUGAGCUGGAAAUAUGCUCAGGGGCCAGCAUGUCCCAGCUUUGAGUACAGAGCUUCAUUCUGAGCACCUCCCACAUAAAACACAAUCGGGGCGCCCCAAGGAGGGGCAGACACCAACAUUUCAGGCCAGAAUUCCAGGCACUUGACUCCUAGCAGAGCUUUGGGUAAGCUAUCUCUUCCUCCUUAGCCUUGGUUUCCUCACUUGUAAAUAAGUGGCUUGAAGCCACUGAGGGCCUUUUAGUGCCAGCAGUGAAUCCUGUGACUGUGUUCCUCCUAUCUCCCUGUAUCCCAGGGCCACACUUGGAGCAUUUUUCCCCUGCCUGGCCACGUACCUGCUCCCGGAGGCCUUGUUACCAAGAAGGGCUCAUGGAGCUGGAGGAGGUCAGGGGAGCAAUGGGAACAGCCAGAGGCACAGUGGCAGCCUUUGAAGAUAAGAUUCCUAAGUCUGGGAAAUACAGAGGUGUGGCUGCAAUAGGAACAGGACACAGACCCUCUCACCAUCACAGGGAAACUCAAGUGUCUCCCUUGGGGAGGUCACUACAGAAAAAAUGAAAAGAAGCACUUGUACUUCUGUACAGGGUGGGUGUGAACUCAUCACCAGCCCGGAGGUGUAGGUAGGCCAACAGUGGACGCGGAUGCUAGAAAGGCACUAUGACAUCAGAGUGAGCAUGACUGAGUCUGGUUAACAAUGGCCAAAACUGUCCCAUUCCCACCAUCCAAUAGCACACCUCUUAGGCCUGGGAGACCCUGGGCAGACUCAGGAGGACAUGUGCUGUGCUGAGCCUGAAGAAGGUGGCAAAGAGCAGGUGUGUGCAGGCAACUUUGUUCAUUCAGCACUCCAGGAAUUAAAGGCCUACCACGUGCCAGGCCCUGGGCUAUGGUGGGAUUCAGCAGCAAACAGACAGACUCAGCAACCUGCCCUCAUGGAGCUUACAUUCUAGCAAGGAGGGGAUGAUAAGCAUCAAAGUGACAGGUCUGCAAAUAAGUAAAUUUCCAAAAGGCUGUGGAGAAGGAAGCAGGGCAUGCUGGGGGACAAUUUUAAAUAGGUGAUUGGAAAA